GUUUGUUUCAGUGACUGUGUUUCUUCUCUGUGUCCUGAUCUUCAUCAUACUGAAGCACAGAAAAACACACAGAGAUGCUGAAGAUAAUGCAGAAGUUAAUAAGAUUUCUAACUCGGACGCUGUGAAUUACGCUGCACUUCAGUUCUCUAAGAAGAAAACCAAGAGGAACAAGAGACAUGAUGUAAAGGAGGAUCCAUGUGUUGUAUAUUCUUCAGUGGG
Long non-coding RNA from Tachysurus vachellii, 219 nucleotides. RefSeq lists it as uncharacterized. The transcript is spliced from 3 exons. NCBI's taxonomy places the organism in Eukaryota, Metazoa, Chordata, Actinopteri, Siluriformes, Bagridae. The record is from RefSeq and is a predicted model, not a curated record.